This 1376-nucleotide long non-coding RNA is filed under the name Solanum tuberosum (potato). Its description in RNAcentral is "long non-coding RNA (STUB_LNC011882)". The record is from RNAcentral. Lineage: Eukaryota; Viridiplantae; Streptophyta; Magnoliopsida; Solanales; Solanaceae.
UUUUGUUCAGUUUUCGGUUCAAAUUUCUUGUCCACCAUUCGUGUUCAAGUUCCGUGGUAGGAAGACGUGGUCGCUGGCUCAUUUCGUUCCAGUCGCUGCCUGUAACGAGGUAAACAACUCGCAACCUUUUGUUCAUCUCGAGUUUGAAUGCGUUGAGUCGUGUUUUGUUCUUUGUGAUUCAAAAAGGAUCCUAUAUGAUAUGUUCGAGCCUGUUUCAUUACUCUCUCUGUCCAAGCAUCGUUUUCCAUUUGGUCUGUAAGUGCUAUCUCGCUUUUGGAUGAGAGUAAAAGUCUAAGAAGGUGGCUAAAAUUAGUAGCAAAAUGUGAGGUUGCCUUGUUAUUUCUGGACUCGACUAGUUUGCCAUAUCUAUUCUUCGAUUUCGUUUCACUGGUUCAUUAAGUUACGAGAUGGCUAUUCCGGCAUGUCUCUUUAAGAUUCUGUUUGUUUUGAUGUUUAUAAAGAGUUAUCCGGCCUUGAAUGAGCUGGAAAUAUUUGAAUCUUGAGUUACCGAGGAUCAAUUUUAGUUUGGAGUCAUUGAAGUGGUUUCGUAUCUGCUUGAUUGCACCUUUAGGUUGUCCAAGACUGUUUUGACUUAAUCUGUGAUUUUAGAGAAAAUCUAGUUAAUCUUUGUCUUGGUGUUUAGUUUAAUUAUAUGGUGAGUAAUAGAUUGGCUUCCUUUUAAUUUGUACCUUAGUGAACCAUGAAUGUAUAGCUCCUGCCCAAUUAAUUGAGAUUAGAAGCUAAGUUUUUUUUGCGAUUUAACUUUCUACAACAUGCACUAAUAUGUUUAGAUGCUUACUAGGAUCACUCAUUUAUACCAAAUUAGUGUUGUCGGCUUAUGUUAAAUGCAUGCUCGUGUAAAAAUGUGUUAAAGUCUAUGGUAUGGUUCUAAUUUUGCUUGCUGCCAUUUUUCUCAUCUAAUUUCAAGGGAUAGAAGCAUUUGACUCCUAACAUAGUUUAUCAUAAAUUAUAUCCCUUUAUUAAGUGACAGUAACUGCAUCAUCUCUUGCUUAACUUGAUUGACCAUCAUAUUAUAAAUCAGAUUCCCUUUUUGUCAUUUAUUAAUUAUUAUUUCUUGUUUCCUUGCAUGAGCCUUUGAGUGAGUCUACUGGACUCCUUUGCUUAUCCGUGCAUUUCGUUUUGAGCCGAGAGGGCUCAAUCUUGUUUGUCUCGAGUCAACCACCGAAGUACCAGCCAUAAGGAAUUGAAGAAUGUGUCCUCGAAAUUGACGUACAGGUGUUUGGAGCUAAUACAAGAUUGUAUACACUAGUACACAUCUAGUGUAUACGAAAGAGGGAAAUGGAUCGAAAGGCCCCCAAAAUUCAGCUUGUAUAUUUGUUGUUUUUGGGCCUAAGCCCUAUUAUUAUUAUUAUUAU